RNAcentral lists this ribosomal RNA (478 nucleotides) under uncultured bacterium. Its description in RNAcentral is "partial 16S ribosomal RNA". It matches the Rfam family "Bacterial small subunit ribosomal RNA", at positions 28 to 523 of the family's 1533-position model. The record is from RNAcentral.
GACGAACGCUGGCGGCGUGCUUAACACAUGCAAGUCGAACGGUAAGGCCCUUCGGGGUACACGAGUGGCGAACGGGUGAGUAACACGUGGGUGAUCUACCCUGCACUUCGGGAUAAGCCUGGGAAACUGGGUCUAAUACCGGAUAGGACUCCUGGCUUCAUGGUUGGGGGUGGAAAGCUUUUGCGGUGUGGGAUGGGCCCGCGGCCUAUCAGCUUGUUGGUGGGGUAAUGGCCUACCAAGGCGACGACGGGUAGCCAGCCUGAGAGGGUGACCGGUCACACUGGGACUGAGAUACGGCCCAGACUCCUACGGGAGGCAGCAGUGGGGAAUAUUGCACAAUGGGCGCAAGCCUGAUGCAGCGACGCCGCGUGAGGGAUGACGGCCUUCGGGUUGUAAACCUCUUUCAGCUAUGACGAAGCGCAAGUGACGGUAGUAGCAGAAGAAGGACCGGCCAACUACGUGCCAGCCGCCGCUGUAA